This is a long non-coding RNA of Portunus trituberculatus (swimming crab), 608 nucleotides long. RefSeq lists it as uncharacterized. The transcript has 3 exons. NCBI's taxonomy places the organism in Eukaryota, Metazoa, Arthropoda, Malacostraca, Decapoda, Portunidae. The record is from RefSeq and is a predicted model, not a curated record.
CCUCCAUCCAAGGUCUGCCAAAUUGUAGAGGUUUGUGCACUGCUGCACAACAUCUGCAAACCAAGAAACAUCAUUCUUCCUGAGGAAGCAGAACAUCUUGCUGCAGCCGAGGAUGGAGGCAACGAGGAGCGACUCCUAGCACAGAAAGUUCAAAGUCGCCAUGAAGGAAUCCUUUACAGGGAUGAAUUUGUUGUGCUUCACUUCAACAUUGAUGAGUGAUGAGACACCAGUGUCAUGACUGCUGAGAUUGGUGUUAUUCUCAUGUGGAUGAUCUCCUCAUCCACAAACACCAGUGAUGUACCAGGCAAGUCUGGCCCCUGUUGGUGCUGCAAGUGGUGUGGCAGGUGCCUCCUCCUCAACACCCACUGUCUCGGUCACCACUUCUCUCUGUUGGGCUGCCUCUGCCACUUUCCCAGCAUCAUCUGCUGCCUGCACACUGCUGGCAUCAUUAGUUCUAACUUCAGAAACUAAGCUGAUAAUGUUUUUGGUCUUAUUGCUAAAGACAAAAGUAACAGAAACCAGUAAAUCUAGCUAAGGGUACAAUGUGUUUGACUUAAAUCCUAUUCUGUUUGAAGGAAGCCCAUGUCUAAGAAACUGUAAAUCCCUAA